Long non-coding RNA from Equus caballus (horse), 4817 nucleotides. RefSeq lists it as uncharacterized. Lineage: Eukaryota; Metazoa; Chordata; Mammalia; Perissodactyla; Equidae. The record is from RefSeq and is a predicted model, not a curated record.
GGCAGGCAGGGGUCAGGUCAGACCCUGGCAAGGAUUUGAAUUUCUUCCAAGGGCAACUGGAGCCCUUGAGAAGCUGAGGAUGUGUUUAUAAGAAGAUAGUGGCUCCUGUGUGGAGAAGAGAUUGAAGGAAUGGAAAUGUCAAAGUAGAAAGACAAUCUAAACUGAGAGCCAGGGAUGAAGGCAGAGGAGGAACUGAAACCAAACCUUCAGAGGAAUUUCUGACCGUUAUAUCAGCUAGCACAGACCCCUGGUUUUGCCACUUCUCAGAGAUUCCACAGUGCGGUACCCGCUCUGGUAGUUGCAUGAUGGAUGUGGCCUGAGAGGCUUCCCUGAGGAGGUGAGCUGACUGAGGGAAGGGACAAAGUUCCCAACAACAAAACAGUAAGCAUCUGACGGAGAACGGUGAAUUCACAGCCGGAAACGACAGCCCAGGAUGCUCAUGGCCUGGUGGAAGGGCCUUGAAAUCCAAGAACCUGCCCCCCGAGUCGGGAGGAUGAAAGAGAUUUCAACCAACAAGCAAACAGGCUCUUCUCCACACGUUUCAUGGGAUCGAACGCCUGCUCAUAGAGGUGGGUCUACCAGCAGAAGACAACUUAAAGCGUUUGUGAGAAAUGACUUCCUUUUUAAUGCUGGUCCUUUGUGGAAGCCAAUGGUGGAAGCAUCAGUCCAGAGGGCUCUCCUGGAAGCCAGUCCUCCAUCCUAGUCUCUGCUCUUGGCUGUACUGAAACCAUCCUUUUUCUAUGUUCUGUGUUUUCUAGAAGCUCCACAUACUUUACCACAAUGUUCCUUGUCAUGGCAGCACGGAAGAGAUGGAAAAAGGCAAGAGGGGAAUAUGCGAUAGCAGAUGUGAAAAUCAGGUGUUUCUAAGUCACUGAUACCUGUAAAGUAAUUGCAUUUGUGAUACCAGAACAGGUACUUCCAAAUAUGCAUAGAGUUCUCGCCUCAGCAGUGUGGAUACUAAAAUUGGAAAGAUAAAGAGAAGGUUGUCAUGGCCUCUGCACAGGAUGACACACAAAUUCAAGAAGCAUCCCACUUUUUUGUUCUUCAUGCACUGAACUGUACGCGUAAAAAUUGUUAAAACAGCAAACUUUAUGUUAUGUAUAUUUUACCGCAGUUAAAAAUAUGCACAGAAAUGGAUCUAGAAACAUACAUACAAACUGUUCACAUUGGCCAAUUCUUGGGAAGAAGGGUGACUUUCAGGGUUUUUUCCCUUCAAUUUUAAACCUUUUUUUGGAAAUUAUUUUAAACAUAGAAAAGUUGCAUGAGUAAAAGUAUUGCCAAUAAUACCUCUAUACUGUUUACCCAGAUUCAACUACUCUUAACACUUUAUCCAUUUGCUUCAUCAUUCCCUCGUUUUCUCUUUCUCUCUCUGCAAUCUAUGGGGAGACACUUAAAGUCCUUACAAAUAUCUUUCUCCUCAUCAAGAUUUCCUUCUGGAUUCAGCAUCCGUGGAUGAUUUCUGUUGAACUGAUCUUUACUAUGAUGGUUGCAAAAUGGGUAUUUUCCAAUGCUAGCACCCCUCCCCAUAUACCAUUUGGCACUGAGUGUUCUGCUUUAAGCAGGAACCCUCUGUAAUCCCCUCAGUUUUUUAUAUAUUUGUCACAGGCAAGGGCUCAUGAAUACCUAUUUUUUUCAAUGAUUUAUAAUUCACUAAUGUAUUUGAUUAUUUUGCUGAUCAAAUUGUCCCAGAUUUGGCUAGUGGAGUCCCUACAAGCUGGCUACUGUGUCCCUGUGAUGUGUGACCCACCUCUGCCCAUCAUGUUGAGCACUUAAUAUCUGGCAUAAAAAGAUUUUCCAGGCUUUUCUUGUACCUAUCUGCCCUGGCCCUGAAGUCAGCCAUUUCUAUGAAGAGCCUUGGUUCUUUUUAAUGGGGAAAGGCAUUAGAAACCAAGAUGUGGGUGUGAGCUAUGCUCAUUGCUUGUGGGGAGUCUUUGCUUCUUGUAUCUUUCAGUUGAGUGAAUAGAAAAUCAACAGAUAUUUAUAUGUAUACAUAUAUACACUUACAUACAAAUAUACCUAGACAUAUAUGUAUAUGCAUAGAUAAAUCAUAAACAUGUGAACAUAUACGUACUUUAGAAAUCACGAAUUCACAGAAAUAAUUUUAAUUUCCAUCCGUUCCCACAGGGAUUUUUUUCUUGCAUUCUCCUCUAUUCCAUAUUUGCACUUUUUUUUUUUUCAGUGAGGACCUUGGAUUCCUCAAACAAUACAUUCACUUAUUUGCUCAAUUGCAUAAUACAUCGAAAAUAGUUUCAGAAUUGCUUCAUCCUUGUCUCUACGCAAAACAAACCCACUGAAAAGAGUUCAGGAUUGGUUUGUAAUUUCCUCCAUGCCCAUCAGUCCGCCACAAACUGAGGGUAGAUAGUCAAAUGCCGAAUAUUAAUACCUUGCUCAGAUUCGUUCUUUCUGUUUCUAUUUCCCUCCUGUGUGGUUAUACUACCCAUUUGAAAUCUAAUUAAGCUGAUUGGUUUCAAUUUGCUCUCAUUUUACUUUCCACACCCCAUUUUUACUAACUUAAUUGAUUUUUGAGUAUAUAGAAGGUUAUCAUAUUUUCCAAAGAAAAGCUGAACAGAAAGGUAUAUUUGUGCCACUCCUUCCCAAAUCUCGCCUACCACAGUCUCCUUAUAGGUCACCAGCUUCAUGGUUUAUCCUUCUUGUGUUUCUUUUUGUACAGGUAAACAGUCACAGAUUUUCUUAUUUUUCCUGCUACUAUAUAUGCUUUUUUAAAAAACAGCUUUAUUGAGCAUAAUUUACGUGGUAUAAAAUUCACCCAUUUUAAGUGGGCAGCUAGACAAGUUUUAGUGAAUUUAUACAUUUGUGCAACCAUCACCACAAUCCUGUUUUAGAACACCACCAUCCUCCCAGGAGCUGCCCUCACGCCCAUUUGCAGACAACCCCCACUCCCAUCUCAGCCCCAAGCCACCACCCAUCUGUGUUCUGUUUCUAUUGUUUUAUUCUUUCUAUAAAUUUCAUAUCAAUGGAGUUACACAGUAUGUGGUCUUAUGUGUCUGGUUUCUUACUAGCCUCAUGCUUUUGAGGUUCAUUUGUGUUGUUGAUGGUGUCCACAGUACUCACCUUUUCGUUGGUGCGUUGUAUGGAUGUACCACAAUUCGUUUCUCGAUUGACCAGAUGAUGGAUGUUGGGAGUGUUUCCAGCUUUUUGUUUAUUGUGAAUAAUGCUGCUAUGAACAUCGGUGUGCAGGUUUUUGACAGACACGUGUUUUCAUUUCUCUUGGGUAGUUACCUUGGAGUGAAAUUGCUGUGUCAUAUGGUAAGUGUAUGUUUAACUUAUGAAACUGGCAAAUGGUUUUCCAAAGUGCCUGUAUCAUUUUACGUUCCCAUCAGCGAUGUAUUUAUAUUAAUUGUAAGCAAAUGUAUUCUCCUAAAGUUGCUGAAAGUUCUUAUCUAAGCUAGGCCAGUUAUUUAUUGUCCUUGUAAUCUUGCUCAUUUUUUACUUACUCAGCCCUUUUCUUCAUGGGUAGUUCAAAGGAAAAUCAGAUUAUUCCUUGCUGAAUUAUAAGGAAUUCAGAAUGAAUGUGACCAAAAAUAAAGACCCAGAAAGGUAUUUUCUCUCUCUUUAUAGGGAAUGGAAAGAUAUAGAUGACGUUAUUAAGAGAAGGACUUUCUAGCUUCAGUCUUUAAAAAUAAAGAUCAGUUGCAUCAGAAACCUGAGUUUACAUUCUUUCCGAUGGUAGGGCAGGGAAUGAGGUUAGUUUAUGGAAGGAAGUACUCCCCCCCCCCAUUUUUUUUCUGGUGAGGAAGAUUGGCCCUGAGCUAAUAUCUGUGCCAAUCUUCCUCUAUGUUGUAUAUGGGACACCACCACAGCAUGGCUUGAUGAGUGGUGUGUAGGUUCACACCCAGGAUCUGAACCUGCAAACCCCAGGCCACUUAACCACUACUCCACUGGACUGGCACCAGGAAGUACCUCUUUUAAUUGAUGGAUACUUGGGAAAUUGACUAAAGUUAGGGUAUGGUCAUUAACUUCAAAUUUUGAGACAUCAGAAAAGAAUUCAGAAAUCUAAAGAUUCUAAAAAGGAGAAAACUUGAUAUAGUUCCCAAGUUGUUAUUUUUAAAUAUUUUGAAAGGAGAGCUGUGAUGGUUGCAAAGAGGCAGUCCUAGAAAUGAGAGCGGCAGCUGUUCAGUUGGGCACUUCCACUGAACGUAGGAUAAAUGCCAGAUCUUCUUGCUACACCCUAAAUACACCUGGACAAAACCACAGCUCCUGGAGAACCAAAGCACACUUCAUGGCAGCCCUCGUCUAGGGUCAUCCACAGACCACACUGGGGAUGCUGCCAGCUUCAAGUUACACCCCAAGAAAAUCAGUAUCAGUUGACAGACUAGCCAGCUCAUUGCUAAAUUAACUUCAGCUAAAUUUUUAAAUAACCAAAGGUUGUCUUUAAAAAAAUCUCUCCACAUCUCUUCUCAAAGGUUUUCUCCCUGCUUCUGAUAUUCAUCUUUUUUGCCCCAUCCCAAGCGCCUGGCACAUAUAUCAUUUUGUUGAGCCUGAAUUUAGCCAAAACAGAUAUUAACCAGUAAAACUCUUGUUCAUAAAAGGUUCAUUUGAAAUUGUUAAACAUGCAUCCCGUGCUCCCUGGAAGUGAGGGACUAUUUGGGCAGUAAAGGGGUUUUCCUGGCACCCAUCGAAAUGCAUCCUAUAGGUGAGGGGUUGCUGUUUCACAGGCCCUACCCUUAUGAGGUACAUUUGUACAUGAACUACUGGUUCCAGUGUUUUUAAUUUUUAAUUUUUUUCUUUUGAGGAAGAUUAGCCCUGUGCUAACAUCUGCUGACAAUCCUCCUCUUUUUUGCUGAGGAAGACUGGCC